AAUUUCUGUAAAUUUACAUGAAAAUUCAACAGCAAAAUGCUGUUUUCGUGUAAUAACAGUAAGUUGCUGUUUUUUACAGUGCAUUGUGGGUAGACUUGCUCACUUCAGGUCGGUUGUCGAGCAACAACAGAAUGUCACUGUUAUUUAACAGUAUUAUAGCAUAUUUUUCGUUGUGCACGCCAUUUUGGAUUGUCUGCAUGAGGUAGGUCUGCAACUUUAUCGAUGCUUGUGCUAUUUUAAAAUUACAUAUUACUUUUGAAUAUUGCAUUUUAUCCAGUGAAGCUUUAAAACAACAAAAUCAGAUUCCAUUUCCUAUUUUAAUCAGGCAAAGCGGGUAUUCUACCAUCACAUCAGUUACACUCACAUCAGAUCACAGGGUUAUUUUGGUGCUUUGGUGCUAUUUUGGUCCCUAUUCCCUGCAUUGUAUAGACAAACAAAUAUUGCAUAUAUUAUUAAGAUGUGUGCCACUCCUGCUGACUUUGAGGAGACUAGUAACUUGUGACACCUCGUUUGAUCCUGUUUGGUGAUACUUGGGACAAUGGAUUAAACAAUGGAUGAUCAGCCUGAAAGCCAAAAGAAUCUGCAAGGGUGUUCAGCCAAUGUGUCUCACUGGACUUACUGCAUUGUGUAUUACAUCUCAACUUGCAAAAGUGAAAGCAGCAUCCACACUGGAAGUCCUUCAAAGACGCUUCAUUAAUCAAACCAGAAAAGGGAACCAAGGCUGCAAAGGGAAAAGUGACCUCUAAAACAAGAAAACUGCAAAAGAAGACCAUCAACAGUCAGUCUCAAACUAUCAAAUCUUUUAAAAAGACUUAUGGACUUGGUACUUCAUUUAAAAUGUAGCUGACACUUCCCACCAAUACAGCUUUUUUUUAAAUAUGGUGGGCUGCAGCCUGCAGUGAUGGCAGGUGACUUCUCUGAGGGGGCACGAAUGCAAAGCUAGCCAAAACAUUGUCAUGUGUGUGGCUCCUCAUUUCAAAAUGUGUGUUCGGCGCGUCAUGUGAACUUGUGCAUCGCGUGUCAUUCCAAAAUACGUGCCUGCUCCAGACACUUUGAAGGGGAUUAUGAUAAAAUGCUCGCUUUUGCAGAUAAUCUCAUGUGUAAACAGAGUUUAGUGUUAAAUGAGUGUCUUGCGAAUCAUGUGUCAUGUGAAUGUCUCUUUUAUUCUUUAUCAUAUUCAAAGCGUUUGUGGCAGGCAUGUAUUUUGACAUGAUGUGCGAUGCAUAUAAUUCACAUUACACCCCGAACACAUAUUUUGCAUUCAGGCAACCACUGGUGGGGUGGUGUUUUUUAUACUGGUUUGUAUAUUAUAGACCAUGUUUUCAUAUUUAAAAUUGGGCUGGUGUCUGUUAAAGAAUUAGUGAAUUAAGGUUUUAUUUAAUUCUUCUAAAAAUGUGGUGUUUUUACAGUUGUGAAACUUUUGUGCUUUUUUGAAAUCUAAAUUUUAAACUACAUUUGUAUUUUAAGUAAAAUAUUGUUCUUUGUUUGUUUGAUUUUUUUUUUUAUUUUUGUAUUUUAGUAUGUUAUUGGUGCCUUUUUGUUGCACCACAGUUUAUGCAGUGAAUAUUAAAAUAUAUCUGCUUGUAUUUCUGCCUGUUUUAUGGCAUAACACAGUCAAUCUGGGGUUGAAUAGAAUAAAGAAUAAAAAAUGCAUAACCUGGCCUUUUUUGUUUUAUGUUAACCACUUUGACAAAUUUAAAAUGCAGGGUAUAAUAGCAUUUAAAUAAAAAAAUUAUGAAGUUGUGACUGUAAAUGAACAGGUAUAUGAUGCUAAAUAACAGUUUUAUGCUGUAGAUAACAAAAACAGUAUCAUGCUAUUAAAUAACAGCUGUAUUCUAUAGAUAACACAAACAGUACCAUGCUGUUAAAAUAACAGUUGACUGCUGUAGGUAACAAAACGGUAUCAUGAUGUUUUUCCUAAUAACAGCAUCCCGCUGUAAAUUAACAGUGCAAUGCUGGCAACCACAGCUUCCAGCAUAAUACCGUUUUUU
Molecule: long non-coding RNA, 1991 nt
Organism: Paramisgurnus dabryanus
Lineage: Eukaryota; Metazoa; Chordata; Actinopteri; Cypriniformes; Cobitidae
Source: RefSeq, a predicted model, not a curated record